AGGAGGAAGAAGAAAGUGAUCUAUGAAAAUACCAGGGGUAUUUGAAGACCUCCCUGAGGAAAAGAAUUCAUCACUCUUCAAAUGUGAAGAGAACCUUGCUGGGUGCAGCUAUAAUUCCAAAGCAGGGAAAGUUGACAGGUCCCUGCUACAUUCCACCCAGGCUUGAGGCUAGGCCUUGGGGACUUCAAGACCAAGUGUGAGAUGCCUGGAAGAUUGUCCAUGGAGGGUGUCCUCACAGACCCCUAACUGAGCACAUCAUUCCUGAAAUUGACUCUCGCUUUCAGCGUUUAACAAGAGGUAGUGCACACCGAGGUGGGCCAAGGCAGAUUAUUGUUGAGAGUUUUUGAAAUAUGUAGUUUGUCACAGCAGGGACAAGGAUGUUGGCAGUUGGGAGGAGCCUCUUCAACAUCUGGAUCUGCCAAGAAAUCCUGCUGAGAGGGAACAGAACUGCUCUCAUGAAAGCUUUUGAGUGUGCAACAGUCGGGGCAGCUCUGAGCGUCUGUCCAGAGCUAAGGUCCAGGCUGGGGCUCAUGACCCGAGUACUGCAGCCAUCACACUGCAGUGAUGAGAUUCACACUUUUCAAAGAAAAGUUUUACUGUAAGUGCUGUGACACUUCUUACCAUUAUGUAUGGUAUUUGCACUUAUCUCUUCAUGCUUUGGUCAGUUCAAGGUGGCCCAGUCACUUUACUGUGACAUUUCAUAGCUAAACUUUAAACAAAAAUCAAUAAAGGGCAAGGAAUGGGUUUGUGAAAACAAUCAGAUACUUCCCUCAACUUAAUGGAAAAGUUAGUCAAAUCAGUUUGGCACUGGCCUCCUGAGCCGGUGGAGCCGAAGGACACUGGAAAACUUCAGCAGCGUCCUCAGAAACAGUUUCCUCCUGACCUCCAGCCCUUCUGUCUCCUCCUCUUCUCUCUGAAGGCUGAACAUAGAAGCUAAGAGCUCCUCUUCCCCAAGCAGAUCUCAGAAACUAGAGCCCUUCCCAAAGCCAGCAGAAAGACCUAGAAAGGAUCCUCUAGCCUCCUCCCCUUUCUGUGUAGGGGCUGGCUGGCAAUAAAUCCUCAGCUCCACCUUGCGUGAUGGUGGGAUAAGAUCCUCUUCCAGAACAGGCCCUGCCCCACAGCCAGGAGAAAGGAAUGGCCUGCAGAGGGACCCAGAGGCACCAAACAGGGGGUCCUGCUGAGUAUCUCCCAACCCCCAACUAGUCUCUUGCCUGGAGGUCAGAUCCCUUUUGUCUAAUCACAUUUCUACCCAGCCAUCCAUUCUUCAUUGAAGAACAAAACAGACAGUUAUCUCUGGAUCUUUAGGCCUUCAUUUCUGAAGGUUCCUGUGUCACCAAAAAAAA
This 1343-nucleotide long non-coding RNA is filed under the name Marmota monax (woodchuck). Lineage: Eukaryota; Metazoa; Chordata; Mammalia; Rodentia; Sciuridae. The record is from RNAcentral.